GAUGAACGCUGGCGGCGUGCCUAAUACAUGCAAGUCGAGCGAACAGAUGAGGAGCUUGCUCCUCUGACGUUAGCGGCGGACGGGUGAGUAACACGUGUAUAACCUACCUAUAAGACUGGGAUAACUUCGGGAAACCGGAGCUAAUACCGGAUAAUAUAUUGAACCGCAUGGUUCAAUAGUGAAAGACGGUUUUGCUGUCACUUAUAGAUGGAUCCGCGCCGCAUUAGCUAGUUGGUAAGGUAACGGCUUACCAAGGCAACGAUGCGUAGCCGACCUGAGAGGGGGAUCGGCCAAACUGGAACGGAGACACGGUCAAGACUCCUACGGGAGGCAGCAGUAGGGAAUCUUCCGCAAUGGGCGAAAGCCUGACGGAGCAACGCCGCGUGAGUGAUGAAGGUCUUCGGAUCGUAAAACUCUGUUAUUAGGGAAGAACAAAUGUGUAAGUAACUAUGCACGUCUUGACGGUACCUAAUCAGAAAGCCACGGCUAACUACGUG
Molecule: ribosomal RNA, 497 nt
Filed under: uncultured bacterium
Lineage: Bacteria
Description: partial 16S ribosomal RNA
Rfam family: Bacterial small subunit ribosomal RNA
Source: RNAcentral